This 481-nucleotide ribosomal RNA is filed under the name uncultured bacterium. RNAcentral's name for it is "partial 16S ribosomal RNA". It matches the Rfam family "Bacterial small subunit ribosomal RNA", at positions 28 to 507 of the family's 1533-position model. The record is from RNAcentral.
GACGAACGUUGGCGGCGUGCUUAAUACAUGCAAGUCAACUGAAGCAGUGGUAGCAAUCUCGCUGUGGAGGUGGCGCACGGGUGAGUAACACGUAGGUAAUCUGCCUUCAGGUCUGGCAUAACUCCGGGAAACCGGGGCUAAUAGCAGAUGAUGCAGCGGCUCGACAUCGAGACAGUUGUUAAAGCUAUGGCGCCUGAAGAUGAGCCUGCGUCUGAUUAGCUAGUUGGCGGGGUAACGGCCCACCAAGGCAACGAUCAGUAGCUGGUCUGAGAGCAUGAUCAGCCACACAGGAACUGAGACACGGUCCAGACUCCUACGCGGGGCAGCAGUAAGGAAUAUUGCUCAAUGGGAGAAAUCCUGAAGCAGCAACGACGCGUGAGGGACGAAGGGCUUUUGCUUGUAAACCUCUGUAGUGAGAGAAAAAAAUCCCAAUCUUUGGGACAUGAUGGUAUCUCAAAAGUAAGCCCCGGCUAACUACGUG